RNAcentral lists this long non-coding RNA (1812 nucleotides) under Ovis aries (sheep). Its description in RNAcentral is "lncRNA (ENSOARG00000025492.1)". Lineage: Eukaryota; Metazoa; Chordata; Mammalia; Artiodactyla; Bovidae. The record is from RNAcentral.
GAGAAAUGUACCCAAUGACAUUCAUAAAGAAACCCCUGAAGCAACUUGGCAACGAGCCCCAGGGGCCUGAGGCCCAGAAGCCGCCACGCAAGGCCAGGUGCCACGUGUCAUACUCCACCUACGGUCACGAGUGAGCGUCUGGGCGCCCCGCUGACACACGGGGCUCCCAGAGCACCCCGAGGCUUCGUCCUGGCCCGCCGAGGAAAGAAGGCCUUCACAGCAACCUCGGCCUCCAGGGGGAGAUCGACCAUUCAUAAAGAAACCCCUGAAGCAACUUGGCAACGAGCCCCAGGGGCCUGAAGCCCAGAAGCCGCCACGCAAGGCCAGGUGCCACGUGUCAUACUCCACCUACGGUCACGAGUGAGCGUCUGGGCGCCCCGCUGACACACGGGGCUCCCAGAGCACCCCGAGGCUUCGUCCUGGCCCGCCGAGGAAAGAAGGCCUUCACAGCAACCUCGGCCUCCAGGGGGAGCUGGGCCAGUGGGCUCGGGGGCCUGUCAGGACUCGAGCAGGGGCGGGCAGGUGAGCACCCCAUGCUGCCCGGCGGGGUCCCGGAGGCCUCCUCCCAGUCUGCUGCCCGGCCCCUUCCCAGGCUGGGGGCCCUCGGCGCUACAGGGCCCCGACAACCAAGCUUUGUUGAAUGCUUGCACAGCAAGCCAGUGGGCGGCGACCCCUGAAUAAAGUGACCGUCAGUGGAUGGCGCCUCUGCUGCUCUGGUGAGAUGCCAGCUAGGCAGAGCUCUCUCUGUGGCGCUGGGGGCUGAUGAAACCAUCAAGAUGUCAGGCCAGGCCCAGCUACGGGAUGAUGCUAGUCCCCCCACGCUGCGGCCUCCAGAGUAUCUCUGAGGCUGCUUGGCAGGAACUGGUAGUGGGAAGUUUCCUGGAUGUGCCCAGAUGUGUGCGUCCAGAGCGGGGAGAGGGAGGGUGGAUGGCAGGAGGACCUGGGCCGGGGGCAGGAUGGGCACUCUCCAGCCGUGGGCCACCCCACCAGGUGGGACCCGUGUGCAAGCCCACCCUCACCUCCCCAACGGUCCCAGCGUGCCAGGCACGCCCAAGCACACACCUGCUGCCAGGCGGGGCACAGCAAGAUCACUGCAGUGACGCGCGGCCUCCAGCCUUUUAUUCACACGAGGGCUCGAAGCACACAGGUCGCCUGCGGGCGCCGUGCGGCCCAAGACACGGCCGGCCCGGCCGCUGACCACACAGGGCCGCCCCGUCCAGAGACGGAGGGAGGGCGGGCCGAGGGCGGGCCGGNNNGGCGCGUCUGGGCACGGUGUGGGCCUGGGGUCAGAAGGAGCUGUGGGGCCUCGGUCAAGACCACUGAGAACGCCCAGACGUUGGCAGCAGCGGGGGUCCUCCCGGGGGCAGCCAAGCAACCACACAGGAGACGAGCCGUGGACGCUCAGCUGCAGGGGGCCUUCUGCCCCGCACCUGCCGACUCGGGGCCUCCCUCCCAGCCCGCAUCCUGGCAGAGGCCCCCCGGCACCCCGCCCACCUUCUUGGGACGCUUUCAUUUCUUAUACAUCCCACACCACUCGGGUCACUGACUCACCCAAGUGCUGUUAGCUGCUAAUUAAUCAAAUCUUUGAUGAGCUGUAUUUCUUACCUUAAUUAAAAUAAUGAUGAUUAAUGGAGUGGGGGGCAUCUAGCUCUGCAGUUAUCCCGGACAGUUCUACGGAGCUCACGCCCAGUUCUGGGGCAAGCCCAGGCUGAGUGGGCAGUCAGGGUCCAGCUGACCUAGAAUUUCUGGUCACCCACUGCUCACUGCUCCCAGAGCCAUCCCACCAUCCUGGGGCGGUGGGGGGGGGGGGGC